AGCUUUGUCCUUGCCUCGAGCCACAGCUGCCUUUACCUCUGCUAGGGUUUGGAGAAAUCGCAGUCUAGCAAGUUCAGCCGCAUUUGUUCCGUUCCGCUUCGCUAAGCCGUUCCUUGGGCUACUGUCCUUCGCCGCUCGAGUAUCGGAAGCUCUAGCUCGCAUCUCCCAGAUGGGCGAGGUUCUCGUGGUCAGCAAGGGAGCGGUGAUUCAGUAGCUUAGCCAUCUGGGCUGGAGGCAUUUUAUUUACGAUUUCUUUAGGGCUACGACCCCUGUAUCAUCUUAUGAUUCCUUACUCUACACUCUUUGUCAGAUUGUAUCUGUUUUAUGUUGGCAUCGUGGUGUGCCGGGUUGUAGGGGUUGUGUUAAGGACCCCAAGACUACGCUGCUAUAC
Vigna unguiculata (cowpea) is the source of this 391-nucleotide long non-coding RNA. The record is from RefSeq and is a predicted model, not a curated record. NCBI's taxonomy places the organism in Eukaryota, Viridiplantae, Streptophyta, Magnoliopsida, Fabales, Fabaceae.